This 305-nucleotide unclassified non-coding RNA is filed under the name plant metagenome. RNAcentral's name for it is "partial contains 5.8S ribosomal RNA, internal transcribed spacer 2, and large subunit ribosomal RNA". The stretch from base 1 to 105 matches the Rfam family "5.8S ribosomal RNA", at positions 50 to 154 of the family's 154-position model. The record is from RNAcentral.
GAAAUGCGAUAAGUAGUGUGAAUUGCAGAAUUCAGUGAAUCAUCGAAUCUUUGAACGCACAUUGCGCCCUUUGGUAUUCCUUAGGGCAUGCCUGUUCGAGCGUCAUUUGUAACCUCAAGCUCAGCUUGGUGUUGGGUGUCUGUCCCCGCCCCGCGCGGGGACUCGCCUCAAAAACAUUGGCGGCCGGUACGUUGGCUUCGAGCGCAGCAGAAACGCGAACUCGAGGCCCGACGGAUCGGCGACCAGAAGUCACUUCCUCCACAGCUUGACCUCGGAUCAGGUAGGGAUACCCGCUGAACUUAAGC